This 2043-nucleotide long non-coding RNA is filed under the name Numida meleagris (helmeted guineafowl). Its description in RNAcentral is "lncRNA (ENSNMEG00000017154.1)". The record is from RNAcentral. Lineage: Eukaryota; Metazoa; Chordata; Aves; Galliformes; Numididae.
GGAUGAGGUUCAACAAGACCGAGUGCCGGGUCCUGCACUUUGGCCGCAACAACCUCAGGCAACGCUACAGGCUUGUGGCAGAGUGGCUGGAAGGUUGUGUGGAGGAAACGGACCUGGGGGUAUUAGUCAAUGCUCAGCUGAGCAUGAGCCACCAGUGUGCCUAGGUAGCCAAGAAGGCCAAUGGCAUCCUGGCUUGUAUCAGAAAUAGUGUUGCCAGUAGGAGUAGGGAAGUCAUUGUCCCUCUGUACUCAGCCCUGGUGAGGCCCCACCUCAAGUACUGUGUCCAGUUUUGGGCCCCUCACUGUAAAAAAGACAUUGAGGCCCUGGAGCUUGUUCAGAGGAGGGUGACGAAGCUGGUGCGGGGUCUGGAGCACAGGUCUUAUGAGGAGCGGCUGAGGGAGCUGGGAUUGUUCAGUCUGGAGAAGAGGAGGCUCAGGGGGGCCCUUAUCACUAUAACUACCUGAAGGAAGGUUGUAGUGAGCUGGGGGUCAGCCUCUUCUCUCUUGUAACUAGUGACAGGACGAGGGAGAAUGGCCUCAAGUUGCGCCAGAGGAGAUUUAGGCUGGACAUUAGGAAACACUACUUUUCUGAAAGAGUGGUCAGGUGCUGGAACAGGCUGCCCAGGGAGGUGGUAGAGUCACUGCCCUUGGAGGUGUUCAAGAAACGUUUAGAUAUAGCGUUGAGAGACAUGGUUUAGUGGGGUUAUUGGUGGUAGGUGGAUGGUUGGACUAGGUGAUCUUGUAGGUCUUUUCCAACCUAGCUAAUUCUAUGAUUCUAUUCUAUGAUUCUAUAUUCUAAGAUUUUGGACUUUGAGAGAAAUACUAAAUGCGGGAUUAAAUGGGAUGGGUGGUGCCUGCGAGCACCAAGGGAGGAAUCGGGGAGUCAUGGCGGGUGGUGCCUGCGAGCAUCUGGGAGGAGCAAGGGGGGUCACGGGGCUGAGCAGGGUACACUACAGGGACGUUUCAUGUUUGUAUAUAAAGAGGGGGGAGAUGCGGGAUUAAAUGGGAUGGGUGGUGCCUGCGAGCACCAAGGGAGGAAUCGGGGAGUCAUGGCGGGUGGUGCCUGCGAGCACCUGGGAGGAGCAAGGGGAGUCACGGGUAUAUGGGGCGGUCGCGUGUACGGGUAUAAGUAGCCUUGUUGCGCAGCAUUAAAUUGGCAUUUCGGCGCUACAUACCGUGUAUGUGUCCCGUAUGCCCCUGCACGCGGAAGUGCGGACGGAAGGGAAGCCUUAGUAUGUUGUCGUAGACAACACUAAAUAACAGUAUUUCACAGUAAAAAUGCUUCAAGAAGAUGCAUUAAAAACAGAAGAACUGAAAUCCUUUCCACCUACUGCAUGUUAAAGAAUUUUUAUUGAAAGGGAAACAGGUUUUCAUUUCCUUUUAAAAUGUUUCGACAACUUCAAUUUUUGCUUGGAAUUUGCACUGAAGGAAAACAAACUGGGGGAGAGAAGGGUAGUUUUUCAGCCACGUAUUGCAAAAUGAGCCUUCUUCCCAACUUAAUGUCAGCAGUGCUGUGUUGCAGUUAUCUGAGCUGUAGUGUUCAUUAACAUUAUCACUGCAAAGUUAACAUUUUCAGAAUAUAAACAUCUCUUGCAGUAAAAAUUCAUUUUAUGACAAAGCUUGACACAAACAAAAGAAAUACAAAGCUCUUCAACCGUUUUAUCUGCCAUUUUAGAAAAACAGGUAGUCAUAAGAUGUGCUGCAGAACUACUUAAAUGGAGCCAAAUAUGUACCUGCACUUCAGCUAGAUAAAGUGAGAGCAGAAUACAUUCCUGUUAUCUGAGCUAUGGUGACAAUUACAGCUGCAAAACUAUAAAUACAUUACAAGUUAUCUACCAAACGUUUAGUAUGUCCUUUAAAAUUUCUGAGUGACUGUGAGAGCUCUCAUUUCAUUCUGCAUAGUGAGGAGAUGUUCCAGCAACAGCUUCAUUUGAACAGUGGAUGAAUGGAAGAUUUCUCUAUUUGGAGACCAGCUUUACUACCAGGUAAUGAAGUAUUUAUUUGGACAAAUAAAGAAGUGAUAACAAAAAGAAAAAAGAAAAAA